This 1580-nucleotide long non-coding RNA is filed under the name Prunus dulcis (almond). Its description in RNAcentral is "sRNA ncRNA". Lineage: Eukaryota; Viridiplantae; Streptophyta; Magnoliopsida; Rosales; Rosaceae. The record is from RNAcentral.
UCUCUUUUCUCUCAUCAAUUUCUCUCCAGUUUUAUAACACGUUAUCAGCACGAAUUCGCUCUCAAAAUUUACAAGCUGAAUUCUCUGAAACCCAGAUAUCUUAUUUCUCUCCAGCCUCAGCUCCCCUGCUUCUUCCUCUGUUUCUUUCACUUGCUGCUACAUCAAUAGUCUCUGACUCAUGCAAAUACCAGAGAUUCUCUACAAUCUCUUCACCUACAGACCAACUCUGAUUUUGCUCAUGCUCAUCUCUCUCACUUGGUCGGGUACGGACAGAUUUUUAUUUAUAAUUCUCCUACCUUUACGGUUCCGUUCCGUCCGCAAGCGAUCCAAUUCAGCGCAUCAAACCCUGUAAUCCAAGAUGAGCAAUUUGACUACGACAGCAAGAUGGCUCCAGCCCACGUGGCAUGAUCCCGGUGGCUUCUUGCCUCACAGUCAAGGGAGCCGAGGACGUCCUCAACAAGCAGUACGCGUUCGAGCUCAUGCGCUCCGACCAGUGCUCCAGCCACGGCCAACUAUGAGACGGAUUGGAAGAGGACCAAUUUACCAAACAAGGACAAAAAUGUGGGUAAGUUAUUAAAAUAUUAAAUGGGGCCUGCGUGUUUGGAGAGCACAACGGCCAUUUCCUAAUGCCUGAUCCAUCUACUCAUAUCAUAUGCCAUCAAUAAUUCUUUUACUUUUCUUUGUCGGUUCUUUUUACUAUUUUGGAUGGAAAUAUUGUUUUGGAGUUCUGUGAAAUAAACCAAAAUAAUGGAGGUACAGUGGUAGCAGUGGAAAAGGAGGGGAUAAAGGCAAUUGAUUUGAAAGCUCGGAGCAUGCGUGAUAUUCCACUAAUCACUUUUCCUACUUUUCUUAUUUUAUAUUAAUAUAAGGAUAUAUCAGUAUAAUAAUAUUAUCUAUUAUAUUAUUUGAUUGUGUUGUUGAUAUGAACUCACAAAUAAUUAUCUUUACUUUAUUCAUUCCGCAUUUAUUUUAUUUAUGGUAUGGUGUAGGUUUAUUACCCAUACGAGCACAUUUACUUUAUCAUAAAUUUACUUUAAAGGGUGGUGCAGGUUUAUCGUCCACGCCUUUACUGUUAUUUAAAUGUAUGGAGCAGAAUUAGUGCCCAUUCGAGCAUAUUUACUUUAUCAUAAAUUUACUUUAAAGGGUGGUGCGGGUUUAUCGUCCACGCCUUUACUGAUAUUUAAAUGUAUGGAGCAGAAUUAGUGCACAUACAAGCACGUUUACUUUACCGCACAUUUACAGUAUGGUGCGGGAUUAACGUCCAUACAGCAAUUUAAUUUAUGAAUUUACUUUACCGCACAUUUAAAGUAUGGUGCGGGAUUAACGUCCAUACAAGUAAUUUAUUUACCAGUAAAUUUAUUUUAUGGAUUAAUUGUGCUGUAUGAUGAGUUUUUUUACAGUAUGCAGAUCAGGACCAGAAGUUCCUUGAUCCUCAUCAUACAAUUACAUCAGGACUUGAAGAUCCUUGAUGAUGAUAUUGAUAUGAGAGCUGGCAGUCUCUCCGGUACUAUAUUUGUAAACAUGUGAUCGGACUUAAGGGUCCUUGAUCCCUGACAUGUGAAUAAGGGCCUGGGUUUCCU